Molecule: long non-coding RNA, 3330 nt
Organism: Cygnus olor (mute swan)
Lineage: Eukaryota; Metazoa; Chordata; Aves; Anseriformes; Anatidae
Exons: 4
Source: RefSeq, a predicted model, not a curated record
UACUCCUAAACUCAGAUGUCUCAAAGUCUAGAUAGCAAAAGGCUACUGAACAUUGCUCAAAAACACAGGUCUGGGGUUUGCCCUAACAGCUGAGUUUCACACACAAGAAGCUAAAUCACUUAUUUGUAUUUUCCAGCAUAAAUACAAUAAGUCACAAUAAUAUAACACUACAUGUCUGAAUUAAACUGACUAAGGCAUGAGCACUGCAACAUAAGAUGCCCACUCCACUGUGAAUUCAACUUCUACCCAUACAUAUUGCAGCUAAGAAUGGAUCAGUACCAGGAUACCUGACCCAGGUGGCUAAUGAAGUGUAAUCUAUCUGACCCAUCUGGCACCUGAGACAGCCUCUGCUCUUACAUAAUUUAUAUUUCAGGCCAAUGUACUAAUUUGAAUCCUAACCCUCAUCAUAGAGGAUCAUCUAAUACUGAAUUCUUCCAACACAUCACAAUUAUAGAACUACCUGUGCCAAAGAACUUCUCCUUCCUGAGCUAAUGCGCAAACCUUCAGUACUCAGUACCUUCAGUACCUCAGUUAAUAUACUUAAUAAUUAUAUUAAUUGGUUUUUGACACAAAGAAAUCCACUGUUAGCAUAUGGUGGCUGAAUGAUAAAGUACAGAAAGGCAGGUAGGCUGAAACAGCACCAAAUUAUUGCCCUUGGAAAAUUUUUCCUCUUUUCCACUUAUAUCAUAUCCAUAUUUGCAUUUAGGCAGCCUGGAACAGAUCCUGCAGAUUUUGUACAUGUGAUCUGCUCUACAAGUCAAGAGCAUGUAAGAAUAAACAGUUUGCUUAGUUAGAAUUUGCAAGCCUAAACUUUGAAAAUCAAAGAUCAUAAAAUCAUUCAGGUUGGAAAGGACCUGGCAAGGUCACUUAGUCUAAAUUCCUGUGUAAAGCUGUCCCAAAACUGAAUUUAGAGUAAGUAGCUAAGAAUUCAGCUGUAAGCAGGAAUUGAGGUUUGAAUAUCUCUUUCUUUGGAGGAUUCCUAAACCUCUCUGGUAAACUACUUUCAUAGCAUAAAAAAAGAAAAUCUCUUGCAUCCAGCCAGAACCUUCCCUCGGCCAAAUUAUGACUGUUGCCUCUCGCACUCCUUCUACACACCUCAGUAAAGAGCGUAGCUGUAUCUUUUCUGUAACUUCAUUGUAGGUAUUGCCAGGCUGUUAGGUUCCCUUGGAGCCAUCUCUUCUAUGGGGUGAACAAACCCUAUCCCUCUGCUUCUCCUCACAGGCCUAGUGCUCCAGCCCCUGAUAUCUUGUCUCCACUGAACUUGAUUCAGUAUGUCAAUGUCUUGUACUGGUGCGUCCAAAACUGGAGAUGGCCUAGCAGACGUUGAUUAAACGUUGAUUAAAGGGGAUCAUCACUUCCCUUGAUCUACUGGCUAUGCUCCUGGUGAUACGACCCUUUCAUUCUGUUAGUUCUCAUCACUGCCAGGACACGCUGAUGACACGAUAGGUGUAGUUGUUGUCCAACAAGCCCCCCACGUCCCUUCCUGCAGAGCUGCUGUGGAGCAGUCCUCAACCUGUACUGAUCAGGGGUGUAAUUUCUUCCCAGGUGCAGGGCUUUACAUCUGUUCUUGCUGAAAUUAAUUCUCAUUGUCCCAGUUCCUAGUGUCUCCAGGUUGCUAGGUGUGCAAAAUUGAUGAGUGUCUCUUCCCCCGGGUCACUGAUAAAGAUAUGAAACAGGAGACGUCACAGUAUAGAUUGCAGAGGAACUACACUUUCCAAGUAGAGUAGUAACCAUAAGCCAUAACCUUUUGAGCUGGAUGAUGCAACCAGUUUUUCACCCUAGUAGUUCACUCAUCUAAACUGGGAUGUCCCAACAUGGAUACAAGGGAAGCUGUGUUGAAACUCUUGCUAACAUCGUUGUAGAUGACACUCAUUACUGCCCCCCCCAUCCCCCUACAGAUUGACUCAUUUCAUCAUAGAUAUCAAUCAGCAGGUUCACGACCUCUACAGAACUGCAGCAGCUCCCUCUGUUCUGAAAACCGCAUGGGGGAAGAUGGUGACUUCUUGGGGGACUAACAAAAACAUUUGCAUUUUUAGAAGCUUGUGAUUUCACUGGAGCCUUGCAUGUUUCUAUGUAGUACUCGCAGCAAGUCAGUACAGCAUGAUGUCCAUGGGUGCCAGUACAAGUACUCUCAGCUGAAAAGACUGUUAUUUGGAUCACGAGCACUGUGAAGGGGAGGAGGAAGGCUACCCAAAGGGACCCGAGAGCUCUCAAAUCACAGAACUGGUCAGUCAAGCAAGCAUUUGAGGCAGACAAAUACAGCUUGUUUCAUUUAUUGCAUACCAAUAAUCUUCUUUUGAAUUUAGCUUUUCCUCUGCUUAUAACCCUUCUGUAAACUGAUCCUAAAUUGUGGGUGUGUUUUCAGUAUUCAAGAGUAAUGUUGAGCAGUAGAAAUAAACAGUCUUCCUCUUGUGUGUCACCCAUAAAUUCCUGAAUUUCAUUAUUUGUUCAUUAUUCUGUCUGGGAGCCAUGUAAAAAUCUUUGCUUUUAGUAAGGGAGCUAAAAUAUUUCACACAGAAUACUGAGUCAGAGGACAUGAUCAACAGUGUGCAACAAAUAGUUCCAUUUGCACAAAUACCUGUAUUUUUACUGAGAAAACCCAUUUUACAAAUAGGAAUAAGGACAAAAAACCUCUAUAGCUAAUAGCAAUAAGAAAGCUGCUAAUGUGGUUUGGCUGGAAAAUGUUCUGCAUUCAAAUGGAUGUUUAUGUUCACAAAUGUAUUGUUGUGUGAUUAAUGUAUAAGAUCCUAUGGGCAGAAUAAGUCAUAUUUGAAAUAAUCUGAAUGGAUUCAGUUUAAAGUCAUUUGCCAAUAACUUGUAAUCAGCAUAUAGUCUUUAACGAUGAUAUUGCUGAACUUUGCCCAUAAACCAAUAAGCAGUUUAAGACCUACUUAUAUUUCAUAAAUUAAACAUUAUCUGGAUAAAUACAUGUCAGUGCAGAAGCAUUUGUGCCUCGUAUCUUUUCCUUGGUUUAAAUGGAUUCAUCCAAUAUCAGCUAGGUAGUGAACUUUGAAGCAGAGUCCACUGUAAUAAUAGUAAAGUUUAAUGAUGCAUAGCUUUGUGAGACUGACAAAUUCCCAGCCAAAGUAUUGAUUCCUGGAGAAUUUAUGAAGCACAGGCUCUAUUCUAUGUCAUUAUGGUCCAUUUUUGGCUGAAAGAAUCAUGUAAAAUAGAUUUUUAAAUGAGUGGUAAUAGCCAGACAUAAAGAAGGUAUUGAUGUGUGUCAUGAAGGGUGAAAUAGCAUGCCAGGUAAAGGCAUAUAACAAAUUGAAAACAACAGUGCUGAAACUCCUACAAAUGUAAAUUUGUUUUUAGUUUUAAUCAAACCUU